AUACGUAGGUGGCAAGCGUUGUCCGGAAUUAUUGGGCGUAAAGGGCGUGUAGGUGGAUUCUUAAGUCGUGUGUCUAAGUGCGGGGCUCAACCCCGUAUAGGCGCAGGAAACUGGGAAUCUUGAGUGCAGGAGAGGAAAGUGGAAUUCCCAGUGUAGCGGUGAAAUGCGUAGAUAUUGGGAGGAACACCAGUGGCGAAGGCGACUUUCUGGACUGUGUCUGACACUGAAGCACGAAAGUCAGGGGAGC
This 247-nucleotide ribosomal RNA is filed under the name uncultured bacterium. RNAcentral's name for it is "partial 16S ribosomal RNA". It matches the Rfam family "Bacterial small subunit ribosomal RNA", at positions 523 to 769 of the family's 1533-position model. The record is from RNAcentral.